GGUAGCCGCACGAGCGCACCCUUAUCCUUAGUUGCCAGCACGUAAUGGUGGGAACUCUAAGGAGACUGCCGGUGACAAACCGGAGGAAGGUGGGGACGACGUCAAGUCAUCAUGGCCCUUACGAGAUGGGCUACACACGUGCUACAAUGGCAAGUACAAAGGGUUGCAAACUCGCGAGAGUAAGCGGAUCCCAUAAAGCUUGUCGUAGUCCGGAUUGGAGUCUGCAACUCGACUCCAUGAAGUCGGAAUCGCUAGUAAUCGUGGAUCAGAAUGCCACGGUGAAUACGUUCCCGGGCCUUGUACACACCGCCCGUCACACCAUGGGAGUGGGCUGCAAAAGAAGUGGAUAGCUUAACCUUCGGGAGGGCGUUCACCACUUUGUGGUUCAUGACUGGGGUGAAGUCGUAACAAGGUAGCCGUAGGGGAACCUGCGGCUGGAUCACCUCCUU
RNAcentral lists this ribosomal RNA (449 nucleotides) under uncultured Gammaproteobacteria bacterium. RNAcentral's name for it is "bacterial SSU rRNA". It matches the Rfam family "Bacterial small subunit ribosomal RNA", at positions 1083 to 1532 of the family's 1533-position model. Lineage: Bacteria; Pseudomonadati; Pseudomonadota; Gammaproteobacteria. The record is from RNAcentral.